AAUGACCACUAGGGGAGCCUUUAUUAAGGGCUGAGAUUAAAGUUCAACUUUAAGACCCUUUGAACCUGAUCUAGUUGAUACUAGCGGAGGGAAGUGGAGCAGAAGGAUA
This 109-nucleotide non-coding RNA is filed under the name Bacillus sp. (in: firmicutes). RNAcentral's name for it is "Bacillus sp. TPP sequence". It matches the Rfam family "TPP riboswitch aptamer (THI element)". From Rfam's summary of the family: Vitamin B(1) in its active form thiamin pyrophosphate (TPP) is an essential coenzyme that is synthesised by coupling of pyrimidine and thiazole moieties in bacteria. The previously detected thiamin-regulatory element, thi box was extended, resulting in a new, highly conserved RNA secondary structure, the THI element, which is widely distributed in eubacteria and also occurs in some archaea. RNAcentral also lists the same sequence under 1 other name. Lineage: Bacteria; Bacillati; Bacillota; Bacilli; Caryophanales; Bacillaceae. The record is from RNAcentral.